This is a long non-coding RNA of Cynocephalus volans (Philippine flying lemur), 1494 nucleotides long. RefSeq lists it as uncharacterized. The transcript is spliced from 2 exons. NCBI's taxonomy places the organism in Eukaryota, Metazoa, Chordata, Mammalia, Dermoptera, Cynocephalidae. The record is from RefSeq and is a predicted model, not a curated record.
GUCCCGGGUUUCCCGGAGGAAGUCGGCGCGCCGAGUCCCGUGCGGGCCCCCGGCCUCGGGUCUGAGCGGCCGGGGGCGCGGGCUGGGCGCAGGGGCUUGGCCGGGGCGUGCACGGAGUCAGCGGGCUGCGAAGCGGGCGGGGGCGGGGGACGCCGGUGCUCGGCGACCCCGCACAGACGGGGAGGGGACGGCUUCCCUGCUGCUCCUAGAGCCCGGAGCAGCGCGGCGCCCGCCCGUCUGGCAGGCCGUGGAUGCGGGGGUGCGGUUGUCCGGGUGUCCGGGGGGACGGACACGCGGGCCGCUCGGUGUUUCUCAGAAGGCUUUUGCGGCUCUAGAUGUCUGAAGCUCUAACGUCUAGUGCACCAGGUAGCGGCCACCCGGACGUCCCUUUCUGCACCGGCAGAAGAAAGCCGGAGCCGCGUCUCUGGAGUGAGGCUGUGCACAAAGUCCAGGGUGGCGCCUGUGGGUGACGCGACCUUCAAGGCUCUUUCCUCUUGCGAUUUUGAGAACCUGCUUCACUGCUGCGGACCAAGGACCGCUGGGAGCUCUGCACCGUUGAGAACGGCGGUGGCUUUCCCGCCACGAAUGAUGGGAUGCUGGGAUCUGCUUCCCAAUUAGCUGGGUCUGAGUGUGGGUGGAAACAGGUAAAAUGAGAUUGGCCUUAAGUUGGUAAAUCCUGAAACUGGUGGGUGGGCACAUGGCCUUCAUUAGGUUCUCUGCUUUGUGCCUGAGAUUUGUCGUUAAAAAAAAGUAAAGGGACAGUGAAACCCUAUACCCCAUUUCUCAGUGAGCCACAGCUUCCAUCCCAUGGGAAUUAUGUCAAACGUUGCUAACUAUUCAUCAAAGUCUUCCUCACUGUUAGUCUGCUCCAGCUGCCAUAACAAAGCACCAUAGCUCGGGUGGCUGAAAUAACGAUUUAUUUUCUCAUCGUUCGAAGUCCAAGAUCCAGGGGCCAGUGGGGUCGAUGCUUGGGGAGGGCUCUCCCGUUGAGUUGCAGACAGCUGCACUCGCACUGCCUCUGCAUGGUGGAGAGUGCUCUGGUAUCUCUUCCUCUUCUUGUAAGUCCAAUUACAAUCAACUUGGGGGUCAUGGCUUCAACAUAUGAAUUUUGGAGGGACACAAUUCAGUCCAUAGCACUCAACUACUUCCGGAAGAAUAGGACUGUACUGGGCACAUCGCUGCCCUGUGAGUCUCACUUUCCCAGCCCUCCUUGCAGUCAGAUGUGACCAGGUAUCAAAGUUACCUACCGUUAAUGAAAUGUGAGCAAACCUGGCAGGUGCACCUUCAGGCAUCAGGUUCCCACCCUGCACUUUCUGUCCCUGACACACCCCUUGUUGCAACCCAGCCUUGACCACAUAGACAAUGGUGAGGUCCUUUGGGGGCAGACACCACACUAGAAGGAACCUGAGUGACCCCAUGGAGCAUGACUGCCCACAUCCUGUACUCUUCACACUGGGGCUGUUACACAGAGAAAUACAAUCCUGUCUUUUCUAA